GUGAGGAAUUUUCCGCAAUGGGCGAAAGCCUGACGGAGCAAUGCCGCGUGAAGGAUGAAGGCCUAUGGGUUGUAAACUUCUUUUCUCAGAAAAGAAUUAUGACGGUAUCUGAGGAAUAAGCAUCGGCUAACUCUGUGCCAGCAGCCGCGGUAAGACAGAGGAUGCAAGCGUUAUCCGGAAUGAUUGGGCGUAAAGCGACUGUAGGUUGUUUAAAAAGUAUUCUGUCAAAGAUUAGGGCUUAACCCUAGAUAGGCAGAAUAAACUUUUAAGCUAGAGUUUGGUAGAGGCAGAGGGAAUUCCCGGUGGAGCGGUGAAAUGCGUAGAUAUCGGGAGGAACACCAAAGGCGAAGGCACUCUGCUGGGCCAAUACUAACACUGAGAGACGAAAGCGAGGGGAGCAAAUGGGAUUAGAUACCCGAGUAGUCC
RNAcentral lists this ribosomal RNA (426 nucleotides) under uncultured bacterium. RNAcentral's name for it is "partial 16S ribosomal RNA". It matches the Rfam family "Bacterial small subunit ribosomal RNA", at positions 354 to 796 of the family's 1533-position model. The record is from RNAcentral.